This 565-nucleotide ribosomal RNA is filed under the name Selenomonas sp. oral taxon F80. RNAcentral describes it as "bacterial SSU rRNA". It matches the Rfam family "Bacterial small subunit ribosomal RNA", at positions 28 to 474 of the family's 1533-position model. The record is from RNAcentral. Lineage: Bacteria; Bacillati; Bacillota; Negativicutes; Selenomonadales; Selenomonadaceae.
GACGAACGCUGGCGGCGUGCUUAACACAUGCAAGUCGAACGGAGUCUAAAAAUUACCACUGAGAUCUUAGUCAGUGGGCGAGCAGCGUCAUGGACACGAAGUGGCCAUCACGCGUUAAAAAGUGCCAACACAGGGCUGAGGCCUGAGUGGUGAUUUUUAGACUGAGUGGCAAACGGGUGAGUAACACGUAGGCAACCCGCCGACAGGAUGGGGACAACAUUCCGAAAGGAAUGCUAAUACCGAAUGGAGUCCGGAGAUGGCAUCAUCACCGGAUAAAAGAUGGCCUCUGAAUAUGCUAUCGCCUGUCGAUGGGCCUGCGUCUGAUUAGCCAGUUGGCGGGGUAACGGCCCACCAAAGCGACGAUCAGUAGCCGGUCUGAGAGGAUGAACGGCCACAUUGGGACUGAGACACGGCCCAGACUCCUACGGGAGGCAGCAGUGGGGAAUCUUCCACAAUGGGCGAAAGCCUGAUGGAGCAACGCCGCGUGAGUGAAGAAGGUCUUCGGAUCGUAAAGCUCUGUUGCACGGGACGAAAACCGAGCUUGAGAAUAUUGAGUUUGGGGACG